This 514-nucleotide ribosomal RNA is filed under the name Bacillus subtilis. RNAcentral's name for it is "bacterial SSU rRNA". It matches the Rfam family "Bacterial small subunit ribosomal RNA", at positions 34 to 526 of the family's 1533-position model. The record is from RNAcentral. Lineage: Bacteria; Bacillati; Bacillota; Bacilli; Caryophanales; Bacillaceae.
CGAGCCGCUGGCGGCGUGCCUAAUACAUGCAAGUCGAGCGGACAGAAGGGAGCUUGCUCCCGGAUGUUAGCGGCGGACGGGUGAGUAACACGUGGGUAACCUGCCUGUAAGACUGGGAUAACUCCGGGAAACCGGAGCUAAUACCGGAUAGUUCCUUGAACCGCAUGGUUCAAGGAUGAAAGACGGUUUCGGCUGUCACUUACAGAUGGACCCGCGGCGCAUUAGCUAGUUGGUGAGGUAACGGCUCACCAAGGCGACGAUGCGUAGCCGACCUGAGAGGGUGAUCGGCCACACUGGGACUGAGACACGGCCCAGACUCCUACGGGAGGCAGCAGUAGGGAAUCUUCCGCAAUGGACGAAAGUCUGACGGAGCAACGCCGCGUGAGUGAUGAAGGUUUUCGGAUCGUAAAGCUCUGUUGUUAGGGAAGAACAAGUGCAAGAGUAACUGCUUGCACCUUGACGGUACCUAACCAGAAAGCCACGGCUAACUACGUGCCAGCAGCCGCGGUAAUAA